Molecule: ribosomal RNA, 432 nt
Filed under: uncultured Parvibaculum sp.
Lineage: Bacteria; Pseudomonadati; Pseudomonadota; Alphaproteobacteria; Hyphomicrobiales; Parvibaculaceae
Description: bacterial SSU rRNA
Rfam family: Bacterial small subunit ribosomal RNA
Source: RNAcentral
AGAGUUUGAUCAUGGCUCAGAACGAACGCUGGCGGCAGGCUUAACACAUGCAAGUCGAACGCCCCGCAAGGGGAGUGGCAGACGGGUGAGUAACACGUGGGAAUGUACCCCAAGGUACGGAAUAUUCUCGGGAAACUGAGGGCAAUACCGUAUGUGACCGAAAGGUGAAAGAUUUAUCGCCUUGGGAUCAGCCCGCGUUGGAUUAGCUAGUUGGUGGGGUAAAAGCCUACCAAGGCGACGAUCCAUAGCUGGUCUGAGAGGACGACCAGCCACACUGGGACUGAGACACGGCCCAGACUCCUACGGGAGGCAGCAGUGGGGAAUCUUGGACAAUGGGCGCAAGCCUGAUCCAGCCAUGCCGCGUGAGUGAUGAAGGCCUUAGGGUUGUAAAACUCUUUCGUCAGGGACGAUAAUGACGGUACCGAAGAAGAG